Long non-coding RNA from Marmota monax (woodchuck), 4262 nucleotides. RefSeq lists it as uncharacterized. The record is from RefSeq and is a predicted model, not a curated record. Lineage: Eukaryota; Metazoa; Chordata; Mammalia; Rodentia; Sciuridae. The transcript has 6 exons.
AGCCUGUGGCAUCUGGUCAUGACAGCCCUAGCCAACGUGCCUGUAAAUCCAACCAGGUGGGAAACGGGAGGCCCACGUGGGGACCCGCUGCCUGUCCCAGCUGGGCCAGUAGAGAGGAGGGGGUUGUAACUGAGGUUGGCAGAGCAGCGUGCAGUGGCCAGGUAUGGGGCUGGCUUGGACACGUGCCCUUUAGGAGGCCCUUGGAGUCUCAGUACCUUCCCCUGAGUGAUGCCAACAAUGUCCAUCUCCAAAUCAGUGGUUUUGAGAAUUAUCAUCCAAGAAUAGGGUCCGACACAACACAGGUCCUGAGGGUCAUUCCUGGGGUCUGCUUGGGGCCAACGGAGGCUCAGAAGAAGGUUCCAGCACCAAAGCGCUGUGGGGGGGUGGCCCGAGAGGACCUGUCCACACUGCAAAGGCGCCACCGGGUGGAGGCUCACGGAACGGGCGCGCGAGCCCGCGGGUCCUGAGCUUCAGGAAGGCGCCCCUUACAGGGUGAGGUCGGGACUGGGAAGCCACGGAAAUGUCGGGCGCCAACCCAGCUGCUGCGCAUCCACCAGCCUGGUCUGCUGGUGACCCGGACCCACCCACUGCUGCAGACCAGCCCCCAGGAAGCAAAGAGUACCCAGUGCACACUAGUCCGGUUCACAAAGCCCCCACUGUGUGCCUGGACCUGGGCACGUGGCCUCCUUCCCUUCCACGACCUGACGUGGACAGUGUAUCCAGAACUUAUUCCAUUUAGAAUGUUUAUUAAUUUGCAAAAAUAUUUCUUGGCUGCCGGGUUCUCCCGGUUGCCAACUCCCAGUGGUCCUUCGGUCAGGGGUACAGAGGAGCCGGGUUCUCCGCUAGAACCUCCAAACGCGCUCUCAACAUAAACGGGAGGCGCUGAGCACCGGGUACUGAUGUGAGUUUGCUGGGAGGAACCACGUUUCGUUAUGUUUAAAAAUCAAAGCUUCAUCUGCUCGCGAACCUGGUGAAAUAUUUACAGGUGAAAUGAUCCAGCCGCCGCGGAGGGCCACUGAACGUCAGCAGGGCACGGUCGAUGCGAUGCCGGGAGGCGCCGCGGUGUUGAAUUGUCUGUAACGAAUACGGAGAAGAAAACAGGAUCCCGGAGUGGGACCUGCUCUCCACCCAGUGCCUGGAAAUUUGGGGUGAUUUUGUGCUGAUUGGUGGACCGCCAGCCUGGGCCCUGCACGACCACUGGAACCACUGGGACCUCCUCUAUCGGGAAGGUCGUCCUCUUGGAUGGAGCACGCAGCUUCGGGAGGGCCACACUUGGAGCGGUGAGGGAGCAAAGGGACCCCCACCUAGCCAGCCAGGUCAGCCGAAUCAGCCCUGGCGAUGGACCCUGUCACAUUGUGAGCGGCAUUAGGAGACACAGGACACGGUCUCAGGUGACAGGCGCCACGCCAGAUCCCCCUCUCAUCCUCCAUUUAUUUUGAUGGUUAAAAAAAAAAAAAAAUCUUUUGGCUGGGGAGUAACUCAGCGGUGAAGCUGGUGAAGCCGGUAAAGCUAGUUUUCCAAAUGCCCGAAGUCUGGGUUCCCUCCCCAGCACCAGCGAUAAUUAAAAACACUUACAUUUUCACAGCUGAUUUGCUGAGCUAGACACCCAAGGCGGCGCCUUCGUGGCUUCGUUGCGGUGUCCCUUAGAUGUCACGCUUUCCAACCCCUCUGUGGGGACACGGAGGCCAAGCUUGGGCGGGCAGGACCGAGGCACCCAGACCAGGGGCUGCAGGACCAGGGGAGGGGGAGCCACAUUCUCCCUUCAGCCAGCGAUGACAGAAGGAUCGAACCCAGGGCCUCCGGUGUGCUAGCAAGCGCUCCACCUCUGAACCACGACCCCAGCCCCCAGGAAGAAUAUCAUUUUUUUAAAAAAAGAAAGAAAAGAAAUCCGUGUGUCCGCGGUGCUGCACGUCUGUAAUCCCAGCGUGUGAGGACUGAGUUGAAAGCCGGCCUCCUCAACCGACUCUGAGUCUGGGGCUGGUUUGGGUAAAGAAAGGAAAGAAAGCAGCUGCUUACCUGGCUAGCCCGAUGCUGUGGCCAGCGCUGGCGCUGGGCCUCUGGCCCGCUCACCUCCCAAGGCCCUGAGGUGACCCACACUGCCUUCCUAUUUGAUCAUUCAACGACUGUUUGUCGAGUGCCCACUGCGUGCUAGAUCCUGUGCAGACCACUGGGGCCUUGCUUCUACAAGGUGAAGGACAGCUGCUCAACCUGUGGCUGAUUUUGUGUGUGGGAAAUGGCUCUUCCUGGUUCCCACUGGGAUGCGAGGGCUCGUUUGUUUCUGCAGCACAACCAGCCUAACCUGACUGAUACAAGGAUGGACAGUGAACAGUCUGUCUCCCUCAGCCUUCCAGUCCCUCCCAGUGGAAGCUCCAUUGACAGAUCCUUGGGCCACUUUCCUAAAAUCCCCUCUGCUUUUAUGUUAGCAUGGACACCCUGAGACAGCCCAGAUGAGGAAUUCUGGUGGAAGUUGCUGGGUUUUCCCCUUCGGCUUUUGGAACCAGGGCUCUAUCCCUGUGGAUACGGCAGAGAGGAAAACAGACCAUGAGGAGCUGAAGGCUGGGGUCACACAGGCUGGCCAAACCUCAGGUCUUGUCCCCCAUGGACGGCCAGGCCUAUGCCAUCCCUGCUGCCUGGGGGUGGGCAGGACCCUCCUGCAGCCAGGCAGGUGCUUAUGCUCGCUGGCCACAGCCACAGACCCCCAAGCCCCAUUCCCGGCCUCCUGCUCUGUGGCUGCCAGAGGUUCCCCAGUGGGCAGGUAGAAGGUGGCACUUCUGGGUACCUCCUUUUAGGGAAGGAACAGGGAGGAAGUUCAGCCAGAAAGCUCAAGCAUGUCUUCUCCCUUGAAUCCCCUUCCCACCGCCCCAUGGGUCAAACCUGGGCCCCCAAAUGGCCUCUUUUCCAGCUGUGUUGUCCUUGUUUAUAAUGAACAUAGGAGAUGUAUGGCCCUAAGGUGAAUUGUCAUCUGACGACUUCCUUUUAAGAAUUUAAACAGGCCUGGCGCACGCCUGUCAUCCCAGUGGCUUGGGAGGCUGAGGCAGGAGGAUCAUGAGUUUAAACUAGCCUCAGCAACUUAGCCAGGCCCUAAGCAACUCAGUGAAACCCUGUCUCUAAAUAAAACAUAAAAAGGGCUGAGGACACGGCUCAGCUCAGUGGUUAAGUGCCCCUGAGUUCAAUCCCCCAUACCCCCCCCCAAAAAAAAGAGAGAAUUUAAAAUGGCUUCCCCCUUGAAGAAAGGUCUGCGAGCUUCAUGCAAAAGUAACAGACAAAAAGAGCCGGGGCAGAAACAGGUAAGGGAAAAACAGACCCCUGCCCAGGCCACCUCCCACACAGGCUGCUGUGGCUCAGGACCCCUCCUUGAAGGUUGCUUCUCUACAUCUGUGAACACCUGUGGGCGUGCCCAGGUCCCUCUGGAAGCAGAUCAGGAGUGGAUGCAUUUAGUUCAGCGCUUGCUCCUCCGCCCCCAUCCAGGGCACUGCUGCUGCAGUCUGCCUCUGGGUCAGCUGACUCACUCUUGCAAGCCUCUGCUGUUUUGCUCCAGAGCUCGGCUUCUAACAAGUCAGUACCUGUUCCUGGACCCUUUUCAAGAUUGAACUUGGGAUGGAUUUGGUUUUUUCACUUCAGUUGGACUCUAAUUCAUCUGGAAUGACUCUGAGGAAUGGUAUCAGAUGUGAGUGGAACUUGACUUUUCCCAAGCGGCCGAUAUUAUUUCCAUUAUAGUUAUGGAUUGGAAUUCCCUCCCCAAUCGAUUCGGGACGCUCUUUUUACACAUGAGAAGGUGAUCUUCUGCAUUGCCCAGGUGUGGCACAGGAACUCCUGGGGGCAGCUCUGGGAUAAGGCAUUCUUAAUUUGAGGGACAAGCUUCUGGGUUCCAGAGGUAGGUUCUCUUGUUGCUGCUCAUCUGAAAUAUUUUUUAAAACGUUGUUCAGAAAAUGCCAGAACUAAACCCAACUCCUGUUCUUUCUUUUUUAAAGAAAAGAGUGGAUGCCUCGGCUGCAGGGCGGCCUGGACAGGGUGGGUGCUCUUGUGGGCAAACCCUUCUGUACAACUUGAUUCUUGACGUUGCAUGACUUACUCUGGUUUUGCUUAAAACACCAACAGCAAGAGACAGUGCUCGGGGUUGGGGAUUUAGCUCAGUGGCAGAGCGCUUGCCUAGCAUGCGCAAGGCCCUGGGUUCGGUCCUCAGCCCUGUAAAAAACAACUAAAAAAGUAUAAAAAAAAAAAAAAGGAUUAAAAAGACCAAAAAAAAACAAGGUAACAGCACA